GGGUCCAGGCCCAACUUGUUUAGGGAUUCAAACAGACAAAUGAUCUGAGUCAUUGAGAAUUUUUAAGUAAGUAAUAACGAGGAAAGAAGAAGGGAAUCGACGGAUUACGCGGAUUCUUUUCCAGGAGCAGCACCACAGACUUCUCAAUGAAAGAGCCUGACGCAAUCAAACUCUUCAUCGGGCAGAUACCCCGAAACCUGGAGGAGAAGGACUUGAAGCCCAUUUUUGAGCAGUUUGGCAAGAUCUAUGAGUUAACAGUGAUAAAGGAUAAAUACACAGGAAUGCACAAAGGAUGUGCCUUCCUGACAUACUGUGCACGCGAGUCCGCCCUGAAAGCCCAGAAUGCACUGCAUGAACAGAAGACAUUACCAGGGAUGAACCGCCCGAUCCAAGUGAAACCAGCAGACAGUGAGAGCAGAGGGGAAGACAGGAAGCUGUUUGUGGGCAUGCUGGGAAAACAGCAGACAGACGCUGAUGUCAGGAAGAUGUUUGAGCCAUUCGGCAGCAUAGAGGAGUGCACUGUGCUCCGCGGGCCUGACGGGACCAGCAAAGGGUGUGCAUUUGUAAAGUUCCAGAGCAACGCUGAAGCCCAGGCUGCCAUCAACUCUCUGCACGGGAGCCGAACUUUACCAGGCGCCUCGUCCAGCCUGGUCGUGAAAUUUGCCGAUUCGGAAAAGGAGCGAGGACUUCGGCGGAUGCAGCAGGUGGCCUCCCAGCUAGGAGUCAUCAGUCCCAUGACCCUGCACCUCGGGGCGUAUAACGCCUACACACAAGCCCUGAUGCAGCAGCAGGCCCUUGUGGCGCAGUCGGCCUACCUUUCUCCCGUUGCCACGGUGGCGGCGGUUCAGAUGCAGCAGCUCGCUGCCCUCAACCCCAGCAGCAUCAUUGCCACACCAAUUGCAUCCAUCACCCCUUCCUCAGGUACGAGCACUCCUCCCUCCAUCGCAGCCACACCGGUUCCUGCUCUGCCUCCUCCAAUCGCAGUGAACAGCUACCCCUCCGUGCCAGCUCCGCCCAGUGGGCAGUCUGCAACCGAAACCCUGUACACCAACGGCGUUCAUGCAUAUCAAGCUCAGAGUCCUGUCCUGGACCCUUUGCAGCAGGCUUAUACAGGCAUGCAGCACUAUACCGCCACCUACCCUGCUGCCUACAGCCUGGUGGGACAGUCAUUCCCCCACCAGCCCACACUUGUGGCUCAGCAGCCGCAGCAGGCACAGCAGCUGCAGCAGCGAGAAGGUCCCGAGGGCUGCAACAUCUUCAUAUACCACCUGCCGCAAGAGUUCACAGAUUCUGAGAUACUACAGAUGUUCCUCCCCUUCGGAAACGUCAUCUCUGCAAAGGUGUUUGUUGAUCGCGCCACCAAUCAGAGCAAGUGCUUCGGUUUUGUGAGUUUUGACAACCCAUCCAGCGCCCAGACUGCCAUUCAGGCCAUGAACGGCUUCCAGAUCGGCAUGAAGAGACUGAAAGUGCAGCUGAAGAGGCCCAAGGACGCCAACAGGCCUUACUGAAAGAGACCGCCCCGCCCAUACAUAUAUCAUGGAGACUGCGUCGCUAUGGCUACGGUUGCCUAGCAACCACUUAAACCUCCCCCCCCUUCCUCUCAGCGCGUUUGAAAAGAUGAAAAAAAGAGUUCAAUCAAGAAACCACUUGGGAUGUCCCAGCCUUUUUCGGUUGUCUGACCAACCGUUUAGCACAGGAGCAGCACUUCACAAACAAACAGUAUCACAUGUAUGUGCUUAAAAAAAGAUUUAAAGAGUAAAACAUGAUAAUAUCUACAACAAAUACAGCAGCAGCAGAAUCAGCAGCCACAAUAUCGGAGGUGUCGAGUGCUCCAAAGUUCCUAUCAUUCCACAGUUAAAUUUAUUUAGAUUAUGUACAUACUCUUUUGUCUGCAGCGAGAUCUACAUGUUACAGAAAAAAAAAAGCAUAUCACUGAUGUUAUUUACUGAACAGGGUCUUACUGUAUAAUGUGGUUUGUGGUUUUUGGCGUAACAGAAGGUCAACCCAGGUGGAAAAAAAAGAAAAAAGAAAAUGCUAUUCUGUAUGACUGCCAUAGGUAAUAUUGGUAUGUAGAGUUAGUUUUAUUAUUUAGGCGUAAAUUAUUGACACGGGGUGAUUACAACAAAGGAGAAAUUGAUUUCCUCCUACUGUAUAUACCUUGUUUGAUAAAAAGGACUUCACAAGUUAAGAUUCUCUUCUCCUGCCACUACUUUUAAAUUAAUAAAGCAGAAGGAAGGGUU
RNA transcript from Thalassophryne amazonica, 2240 nucleotides. It is a transcript of the gene named cugbp, Elav-like family member 3a, with no coding region annotated. The record is from RefSeq and is a predicted model, not a curated record. NCBI's taxonomy places the organism in Eukaryota, Metazoa, Chordata, Actinopteri, Batrachoidiformes, Batrachoididae. The transcript is spliced from 15 exons.